GCCGGGCGUGGUAGUGCACGCCUGUAAUCCCAGCUACUUGGGAGGCUGAGGCAGGAGAAUCGCUUGAACCCAGGAGGCAGAGGUUGCAGUGAGCAGAGAUCACACCACUGCACUCCCGCCUGGGUGACAGAGCUAGACUCCGUCUCAA
This 148-nucleotide signal recognition particle RNA is filed under the name Nomascus leucogenys (northern white-cheeked gibbon). RNAcentral's name for it is "Metazoan signal recognition particle RNA". It matches the Rfam family "Metazoan signal recognition particle RNA". Rfam says of the family: The signal recognition particle (SRP) is a universally conserved ribonucleoprotein. It is involved in the co-translational targeting of proteins to membranes. Lineage: Eukaryota; Metazoa; Chordata; Mammalia; Primates; Hylobatidae. The record is from Rfam by way of RNAcentral.